AGCUGAGUUUGAUCCUGGCUCAGAACGAACGCUGGCGGCGUGUUUAAGACAUGCAAGUCGCACGGGACUAGUUGAGUAGUAAUACGAUUCUAGUCUAGUGGCGCACGGGUGAGUAACAUGUGAAUUACAUGCCCUUCAGUGGGGAAUAGCCCAGGGAAACUUGGAUUAAUAUCCCAUGGUCUCGCAAGAGUAAAGGUGGCCGCAAGGCUGUCGCUAAAGGAUUGGUUCGCGCCCUAUCAGCUUGUUGGCGGGGUAACGGCCCACCAAGGCUACGACGGGUACCUGGUCUGAGAGGACGAUCAAGCACACUGGAACUGAGACACGGUCCAGACA
Molecule: ribosomal RNA, 333 nt
Filed under: uncultured Luteolibacter sp.
Lineage: Bacteria; Pseudomonadati; Verrucomicrobiota; Verrucomicrobiia; Verrucomicrobiales; Verrucomicrobiaceae
Description: bacterial SSU rRNA
Rfam family: Bacterial small subunit ribosomal RNA
Source: RNAcentral